Molecule: ribosomal RNA, 472 nt
Filed under: uncultured bacterium
Lineage: Bacteria
Description: bacterial SSU rRNA
Rfam family: Bacterial small subunit ribosomal RNA
Source: RNAcentral
UUCGCAAUGCCCGAAAGGGUGAACGAGCGACGCCGCGUGCGGGAUGAAGGGUUUCGGCUUGUAAACCGCUUUUCUUUGGGAAGAAGGCCUGUCUCGUGAAGAUGGGCUCGACGGUACCAGAGGAAUAAGCCUCGGCUAACUCCGUGCCAGCAGCCGCGGUAAGACGAACCGUGCGAACGUUAUUCGGAAUCACUGGGCUUAAAGCGCGUGUAGGCGGGCCGGCACGUCGGCCGCUGAAAGCCCCCGGCUCAACCGGGGAAGGGGCGCCGAUACGACCGGCCUGGAGGGGGGUAGGGGGCGUCGGAACUGCCGGUGGAGCGGUGAAAUGCGUUGAGAUCGGAAGGAACGCCCGUGGCGAAAGCGAGGUCCUGGACGUCUGCUGACGCUGAGACGCGAAAGCUAGGGGAGCAAACGGGAUUAGAUACCCCGGUAGUCCUAGCCGUAAACGAUGGGCACUAAGUAGAGGGGUUUU